Molecule: unclassified non-coding RNA, 485 nt
Filed under: Talaromyces indigoticus
Lineage: Eukaryota; Fungi; Ascomycota; Eurotiomycetes; Eurotiales; Trichocomaceae
Description: partial contains ITS 1, 5.8S rDNA and ITS 2
Rfam family: 5.8S ribosomal RNA (bases 166-319)
Source: RNAcentral
CCCUCGCGGCCCAACCUCCCACCCUUGUCUCUAUAUAACCUGUUGCUUUGGCGGGCCCACCUGUGGCCAGGUCGCCGGGGGACGUCUGUCCCCGGGCCCGCGCCCGCCGAAGCGCCCUGUGAACCCUGAUGAAGAUGGCUGUCUGAGUCGUAUGAGAAUCGUUAAAACUUUCAACAAUGGAUCUCUUGGUUCCGGCAUCGAUGAAGAACGCAGCGAAAUGCGAUAAGUAAUGUGAAUUGCAGAAUUCCGUGAAUCAUCGAAUCUUUGAACGCACAUUGCGCCCCCUGGCAUUCCGGGGGGCAUGCCUGUCCGAGCGUCAUUUCUGCCCUCAAGCACGGCUUGUGUGUUGGGUGUGGUCCCCCCGGGGACCUGCCCGAAAGGCAGCGGCGACGUCCGUCUGGUCCUCGAGCGUAUGGGGCUUUGUCACUCGCUCGGGAAGGACCUGCGGGGGUUGGUCAACACCACAUUUUACCACGGUUGACCUC